GGCGGGGCGAACGCCGGCACGCGAGGAAGCGGGCGCUGACCGCCUCUCUUAAGGGCUGCGCGCCUGCGCGGGGAUCGCGACUGCGCCCUGACUGAGGGGAAACGGUCUGGGGGGCGCAUGCGCAGGAGGUUUUGGUGUUCGCUGUUGUGAGGGCGGCGCGGGGUGUGCGAUGGCAGGCGUGCAGCAGCGGGGUCUUCGGGCUGACUGUGCGGAAGGAGCGAGUGGGCUGGGGUCUGGGAGCUUCCAGUCCCAAAAUUCAGGUAAGGGAAGAUGGCUACGAAGAACAAGGUGGACAACUCUUUCAAGUGGAUGUCAUCAGAACACAUCAAGAAGCAUGCAGGGCUUUGUUUCUUCACAUUCCUGCUCCCCUAUUCAGUUGUUGAGGUGUAAGGAAUUCAAUCAUGCCAAAUGAGAUACUGAGCAUGAGGUCUUGGCUGAAGAGCUCACUGUGGGUUUUAAUACAACAGGGAAUGGUCCUGUUGUAUUAAACAGGAUCAUCUGAUUUUCAAAUCUUUCAGCUUUUUUACUUCUGCUGGUGACUGACAGUAAGCCACAUUUUUUAGUUUUCUUCUUUAAAAGGAGUUGAGCAGAAGAAUCACCCACUGGGUAAACAGCCUGCAAAAUCAGGACUUUCUCAAACGGAGGUGAACUGCCAUUGGACACCUAGAAGGCAAGUUUCUGCUUGAAGAAUGGAAAUGUGUCACUACUUUUUGCACAAAAUUUUUUAAAGCAUUGCCUUUUGCAUAGUUUUGUUGUCUUUUGUUUGUUUUUUAAAAAUGUCAUGUUGUUUCUGACAAUACAUGAAAAACACCUACAUGUUACUAUCAGCAGGUCAAAGGAAGAAAAAGACAUUUAACUAUGAGUACAUUUUUGUUCAUGGCAUUCUGCUUUAAGGUUCAGCCUCAUUGGAAGCUUGGGAUAAGCUGCAUGAAUUAACUUAUGUAAACUGUGCAUAGCAGAUACAUGAAGGUGCUGCUUGAGAGUGUUCUCUGACUUUUUAUCAGGGCACAGAGUUGAAUUUAUCCAAAUGAGUUGUGUCAUUCUUUGAAAUUAUGCAUGACUCCAGUGUUUGUCACAAGAAUAUAAGACCUGUCCCAUCCUUGAGAAGGCAUAAAUAAUUUGCUUAGUGAAUCAUAGGUGCAUACUAUGCCUAUGGCAGCUACAGCUGCUGUUUGUGUUGAAUAGUGAGUUAAUAUAGUUGUAUUACAGAGUAGUUUUAGAGUUGCUUUAUUUUAAAAGUAUUUGAGAAAUUGGAAAUAAGGAAUUAAUAACACUUAGUAAGCCAUUCUGUCACUGUUAGUGAUGUGCUUCCUGUUUUGCUAGAGAGACAUAGUGGCAGUCCAAUACAAGAAGAACAGUGAACAACAGUAUUAGAACAGCUGGGGAAUAAUACUGCCGUGGUAGCUUUGGUAGAAGGCUGCAAAACUGCCAGUGGAAAACAGGCUGUGAAAGUACAGAUGGAGGGCCUGUAGCCAUUCAAAAUUCUAAAGAAUCCAAGGCAUUGCACAGUGCUGCUUUCUAUUUCAUACAUGACUAUCUGGAGAAGUAAGUACAGUAAUGAGUGAAAAGGUGUGAAGAACUAGUUGGGAAUGGCUUUUGAGGAAACAGUUCUGACAGUGCUGUGCCAAGAGGAGCUGUCUGGACAACUUUUUAUCUGUUUUAAAUUCCCAAAGUGAAAUAUACUAUUUUGAGGAAUAUUGCUUGAAGAAAAGAAAGGGCCAUCUACCUUCUGAAGCAAUAAAUAUCACUUACUGAAAUAGCUACA
RNAcentral lists this long non-coding RNA (1765 nucleotides) under Phasianus colchicus (ring-necked pheasant). RNAcentral describes it as "lncRNA (ENSPCLG00000003117.1)". The record is from RNAcentral. Lineage: Eukaryota; Metazoa; Chordata; Aves; Galliformes; Phasianidae.